This 215-nucleotide unclassified non-coding RNA is filed under the name Hevea brasiliensis (rubber tree). Lineage: Eukaryota; Viridiplantae; Streptophyta; Magnoliopsida; Malpighiales; Euphorbiaceae. The record is from RNAcentral.
GAAAUGAUCACGCGCACUUGACUGGAUCUUUUUUAUUUCUUCAUUGUUUGCUUGACGGAGUUUAGCAUUCACCACAAUCAACUGUUCGACAGACUGGACAGUCUCCCGUAAUUUGUCCUCCAACACCUUUAUGUGCAACUUCUUGACUUCAAUGGCACUGGUUAAACUAGAAACAAGUGUACAAUUCUUGCGAGAUUCUUCUUCCAUGAUACUAG